UGGGGAAUAUUGCACAAUGGGGGGAACCCUGAUGCAGCCAUGCCGCGUGAAUGAAGAAGGCCUUCGGGUUGUAAAGUUCCANNUGNAGUNNGNAUGUANAUAGGUUAAUAGCCUAUCAAAUUGACAUUAAUCACAGAAGAAGCACCGGCUAACUCCGUGCCAGCAGCCGCGGUAAUACGGGGGGUGCGAGCGUUAAUCGGAAUAACUGGGCGUAAAGGGCACGCAGGCGGUGACUUAAGUGAGAUGUGAAAGCCCCGAGCUUAACUUGGGAAUUGCAUUUCAUACUGGGUCGCUAGAGUACUUUAGGGAGGGGUAGAAUUCCACGUGUAGCGGUGAAAUGCGUAGAGAUGUGGAGGAAUACCGAAGGCGAAGGCAGCCCCUUGGGAAUGUACUGACGCUCAUGUGCGAAAGCGUGGGGAGCAAACAGGAUUAGAUACCCUGGUAGUCCACGCUGUAAACGAUGUCGAUUUGGGGAUUGGGCUUUGAGCUUGGUGCCCGUAGCUAACGUGAUAAAUCGACCGCCUGGGGAGUACGGCCGCAAGGUUA
RNAcentral lists this ribosomal RNA (546 nucleotides) under uncultured bacterium. Its description in RNAcentral is "bacterial SSU rRNA". It matches the Rfam family "Bacterial small subunit ribosomal RNA", at positions 355 to 896 of the family's 1533-position model. The record is from RNAcentral.